CAUUUCCUCCUCCUACCAUUUCCGAUAUAUUUAUGUAUUAUUAUAAUACACAUUUUUAUAUCUCUCACUACAAUAUCUCCAUUUCUAACCUACACCACACCACCACCACCACCACCACCGCCACCGCAUCAUCACACUACUCAUACUCUUAGUACCAUUACUAAGACUGCAAUCCCAACUGAACUAUUAGUGGUGGUGUGGCCAAAAAGAAAGCAAAAACCCGUGCUCCUCAUUUUCCGACGCAUUUACACGUUUGUCUCCGCUGGAGAAAGUCUUCUGCGGCGACUACCCCGACUGCGAGCAGCAGCAGCAGUGUCAACCACAUUAUACUCGUCAUUGUUUAUUUGUUAAGGGUGCACCGCCGCCACCACUUCGCAGCAUGUUGACAACUGACUCCACUCCAUUCUGACAACAUUCCGUUAAUCUCUGUAUUAUGCAAAGUUGUACCAGCUCGUCCUCUUCUUUGUCUCAACGACAACCAUCACUGCUCACAUCCCUUUGACGACGAGGCAAAAAUCGCACGAGAUGUGCUCGCUCCACACCACUCGGACGAGGCAUAUUUAGCAUUAGCAUUUGCCUUCCUGGCUUAAAACAAAUACUUGAUAGCCUUUCGCAGAUUGUCGAGUAAACCAGAGUAACUAACAAAGUCUAACGUGGAGAAAGCGGGAGGAGGAGGCGGCUAGGAGCCAAAAUCUCGAAUUUUUACAGAAUAACAUAACACUAAAAUCUAACGCUUUCUUCUUCUCAGAAGGAAAAGAAAGGAGUAAUGUCAUGUCGUCGUCGUUGUCGUCGUCGUCGUGUUUCUACACUUUCUUUUUGGUUUAAUAAGGGGAUGGACUUGACACACGGGCCAAUGCGAGUACGCCAUCAUCAUCGUCGCCGUCGUCGUCGUCGUGUGUAGUAUGUUAGAGACAAUAGAGUGACACAUGCAGUGCUGCUGCUCUUCCUGCUAAUCAAUGCGCCAUACUCGCACUCUUUUCGUCGUCGAGAUGCUCGUUCUUCUUUAUUGCAAGCAUUGAUUUCGUUUCAUUAUGUUGCACCUUCCACCUCGCACUUUGAGUUUCCACUUUGAGUCUGUAUUGCAUUUUUGUUGGUUUUUUCCCUCUAAAUGUAAGCCACCCUAUCGGCAAGCCAUGCACAUGUAGUGCAUUGCAUUAUAUAUGUGUACGAUAAGCUGGUUCAUUGUUAUCCCUGACUUUCAUCCGGUUAAAAGCUAUGCCAUCACUCAUUUCAUUAAUCUGCACUUGUGCGUCUUGCUUUCUGAUUUUGAAUGGUUAUUGCGGUUGUUCAUUGGGCUUUGGAUGGAAGCUAUUUUCCUUUGUAGUUUCGGAAAAAUAAGAAUAAGAAGACCAGAUUUGGAUUAGAGUAUACAAGUUGAUGCUCAGUAACUGGUCGUCGUUCCUCAGAGGAGUGAGUGCCAUACCGUACCAUAUACUUUGUUUAAGUAGUGACGUUCCAAGCAAAAAAGUGAGAGACGCACAAGAGCAGCAACUAAUAAUAAACAAGUGCUACUACAUUAUUCCAUCACAAGUUUUUGUUUUUAAAUAUCAAUUUUGCUUCCAGACCAUAACUAAGCACGAGAUGUGAAGCAAGAUAAAAACGUAUUGACAAUCUCGUAAACAUGGUGGAGGGAGAAAGCUACACGCUUUCCUUAUUCCGUCCCAAGGAUUGCCAUUUAUAUUCAAAAAGAAAUGAACACGUUUAGAAGUCAACCGCAAAACAGCUACCAGAUACUGGAUGGAUGGAUAGGGUUUGUAAUGUGGGGAAAGCAGCUACUCCGAACUCUGAACGAAAUUUUAUCAACUUUACGUGCACGUAAAAUUUGUUAGGUUACUUAUUUCAGUGGCGACGCACAAUUAGAAAGCCAUAAAUCUGUGAAUACACAAAGUACGAAAAUCAGAUUUAAGUAGUUCUCAUACAUAUAUUCACUUUCUCUCUUCGUGGAAAAUCGUUCAUUCAUUCGUAAUGAUGAUGAUGAUGUUUACAAUUUAAGACCAUGCAGGUACAUAGAUACAUAUGUAAAUACGUAUAUAUUAUGGUGUGUUUCCUCAAAUACUUGCAAAUUAAAUGGUUAUUUAUAUUUAAAAAAUUAAAAUUUCAUAUUUUGUAUCAUACAUUCUUCAACUGCAAAUUAAAACUGGUCAUGAAUUGGUAUCCUCGAGAAAGCAAACUGCUCUGGCUAUUCGUAUCCGAUUUAAGUCGAAUGAGAGGCUUGCUGCAUGGCUGCACAAGUUUCAUUAACGCUGCACU
Folsomia candida is the source of this 2250-nucleotide long non-coding RNA. RefSeq lists it as uncharacterized. The transcript is spliced from 3 exons. NCBI's taxonomy places the organism in Eukaryota, Metazoa, Arthropoda, Collembola, Entomobryomorpha, Isotomidae. The record is from RefSeq and is a predicted model, not a curated record.